GAUGAAGAACGUAGCGAAAUGCGAUAAGUAAUGCGAAUUGCAGAAUUCCAGUGAGUCAUCGAAUCUUUGAACGCACAUUGCGCCCUUUGGUAUUCCGAAGGGCAUGCCUGUUCGAGCGUCAUUAUCACCCCUCAAGCCCUCGGCUUGGUGUUGGACGGUUUGGUGGAGGCCCCCUCGGGGGUUCCUGCCCCUCCCAAAGACAAUGACGGCGGCCUCGUUGGACCCCCGUUACACUGAGUUCUUCACGGGACACGUAUCGGACACAUGGGUUUACGGGACACGGUCUGCCUCCCCUCAGGGAGAAUCUUUCUAAGGUUGACCUCGGAUCAGGUAGGGAUACCCGCUGAACUUAAGCAUAUCAAUAAGCGGAGGA
RNAcentral lists this unclassified non-coding RNA (373 nucleotides) under soil metagenome. Its description in RNAcentral is "partial contains 5.8S ribosomal RNA, internal transcribed spacer 2, and large subunit ribosomal RNA". The stretch from base 1 to 121 matches the Rfam family "5.8S ribosomal RNA", at positions 35 to 154 of the family's 154-position model. The record is from RNAcentral.